This 465-nucleotide ribosomal RNA is filed under the name uncultured bacterium. Its description in RNAcentral is "bacterial SSU rRNA". It matches the Rfam family "Bacterial small subunit ribosomal RNA", at positions 37 to 518 of the family's 1533-position model. The record is from RNAcentral.
UGGCGGCGUGCCUAACACAUGCAAGUCGAGCGAGGAGAUUCCUCGGGAUGAUCCUAGCGGCGGACGGGUGAGUAACACGUGGGCAACCUGCCUCAUAGAGAGGAAUAGCCUUCCGAAAGGGAGAUUAAUACCUCAUAACAUUGCAGUUUCGCAUGGAACAGCAAUUAAGGGAGCAAUCCACUAUGAGAUGGGCCCGCGGCGCAUUAGCUAGUUGGUGAGGUAACGGCUCACCAAGGCGACGAUGCGUAGCCGACCUGAGAGGGUGAUCGGCCACAUUGGGACUGAGACACGGCCCAGACUCCUACGGGAGGCAGCAGUGGGGAAUAUUGCACAAUGGGGGAAACCCUGAUGGCCAGCAACGCCGCGUGAGUGAUGACGGCCUUCGGGUUGUAAAGCUCUGUCUUCAGGGACGAUAAUGACGGUACCUGAGGAGGAAGCCACGGCUAACUACGUGCCAGCCGCCGC